ACCUACGGGGGGCAGCAGUAGGGAAUAUUGCUCAAUGGGGGAAACCCUGAAGCAGCAACGCCGCGUGGAGGAUGAAGGUUUUCGGAUUGUAAACUCCUUUUGUUAGAGAAGAUAAUGACGGUAUCUAACGAAUAAGCACCGGCUAACUCCGUGCCAGCAGCCGCGGUAAUACGGAGGGUGCAAGCGUUACUCGGAAUCACUGGGCGUAAAGAGCGCGUAGGCGGGAAAGCAAGUCAGAUGUGAAAUCCUAUGGCUUAACCAUAGAACUGCAUUUGAAACUGGUAUUCUAGAGUAUGGGAGAGGUG
This 305-nucleotide ribosomal RNA is filed under the name uncultured bacterium. Its description in RNAcentral is "bacterial SSU rRNA". It matches the Rfam family "Bacterial small subunit ribosomal RNA", at positions 337 to 659 of the family's 1533-position model. The record is from RNAcentral.